GCGAGAAGACCCUAUAAAUCUUUAUAUUUAGAUUAUUAUAAUUUUAUAGAUUUUUUUUGUUAUAAUAAUCAAUGAUAUUUUAUUGGGGUGAUAUUAAAAUUUAAUAAACUUUUAAUUGUUAAAAUCAUUAAUUUAUGAAUAAUUGAUCCGUUAUUAGCGAUUAAAAAAAUAAGUUACUUUAGGGAUAACAGCGUAAUUUUUUUGGAGAGUUCAUAUCGAAAAAAAGAUUGCGACCUCGAUGUUGGAUUAA
This 250-nucleotide ribosomal RNA is filed under the name Calliphora vicina (urban bluebottle blowfly). Its description in RNAcentral is "partial large subunit ribosomal RNA". The record is from RNAcentral. Lineage: Eukaryota; Metazoa; Arthropoda; Insecta; Diptera; Calliphoridae.